Molecule: ribosomal RNA, 849 nt
Filed under: uncultured bacterium
Lineage: Bacteria
Description: bacterial SSU rRNA
Rfam family: Bacterial small subunit ribosomal RNA
Source: RNAcentral
GCGCGUAGGCGGUUAAAUCAGUCAGAUGUGAAAGCUCCGGGCUCAACCUGGGAACUGCAUUUGAUACUGUUUAACUAGAGUAUGGUAGAGGAGAGUGGAAUUUCAGGUGUAGCGGUGAAAUGCGUAGAGAUCUGAAGGAACACCAGUGGCGAAGGCGGCUCUCUGGACCAAUACUGACGCUGAGGUGCGAAAGCGUGGGUAGCAAACGGGAUUAGAUACCCCGGUAGUCCACGCCGUAAACGAUGUCAACUAACUGUUGGGCGGGUUUCCGCUUAGUGGUGCAGCUAACGCAAUAAGUUGACCGCCUGGGGAGUACGGCCGCAAGGCUAAAACUCAAAUGAAUUGACGGGGGCCCGCACAAGCGGUGGAGCAUGUGGUUUAAUUCGAUGCAACGCGAAGAACCUUACCUACCCUUGACAUACAGAGAACUUUCUAGAGAUAGAUUGGUGCCUUCGGGAACUCUGAUACAGGUGCUGCAUGGCUGUCGUCAGCUCGUGUCGUGAGAUGUUGGGUUAAGUCCUGUAACGAGCGCAACCCUUAUCCUUAGUUGCUACCAUUUAGUUGGGCACUCUAAGGAGACUGCCGGUGAUAAACCGGAGGAAGGUGGGGACGACGUCAAGUCAUCAUGGCCCUUAUGGGUAGGGCUACACACGUGCUACAAUGGCUGGUACAGAGGGCUGCUAACUCGCGAGAGUAAGCGAAUCCCUUAAAGCCAGUCCUAGUCCGGAUUGCAGUCUGCAACUCGACUGCAUGAAGCUGGAAUCGCUAGUAAUCGCGGAUCAGAAUGCCGCGGUGAAUUCGUUCCCGGGCCUUGUACACACCGCCCGUCACACCAUGGGAGUGGGUUGC